GGAGUUGUGGCUCAGUGGUAAAGCGCUUGCCUAGCAUGUAGGAGGUCCUGAGUUUGAUUCUCAACACCA
RNAcentral lists this transfer RNA (69 nucleotides) under Marmota marmota marmota (Alpine marmot). It matches the Rfam family "tRNA". From Rfam's summary of the family: Transfer RNA (tRNA) molecules are approximately 80 nucleotides in length. Their secondary structure includes four short double-helical elements and three loops (D, anti-codon, and T loops). RNAcentral also lists the same sequence under 1 other name. Lineage: Eukaryota; Metazoa; Chordata; Mammalia; Rodentia; Sciuridae. The record is from Rfam by way of RNAcentral.